CAUAAUACAACGCAAUAUCGCAAUCAUUAAUUUAUUCUACGAAUAUACUAAAUAAUAAAAUAAAUAAAAGUGUAAAAUCGCCUAAAACCAGUUUUGUAUUCAUGGAAUUAUUAGAUAAGAGAGAGAUUAAUCCAGUCGACUGACCAGAAAAUAAUUUAACGAUCACUUAAUGACAUGAGUUAUUUUAAUCUAGCGUUUGCCAACCUGAGUAAAGUUAGUGAACUCAGUAAUAAAUCGCUCUCGUUAGCAGCAUCAACAUCAACAGCAUCAUAAUGAAGUGUCUACCCGUCCUUUUAAUUGUUUUAUUUGCGGGUAUAAAUGCAGCACCACAAAGCCAAAUCCUCGGCCGUGAGUGUAAUCAACCGAACACUGAAUUCCGACGCUGUGAAUUCUCAACGCGUGCGACGUGCCUUGUUCCCGAGCCGAAUUCCGACGAAUUCGCAGCGCAUUGCGAAGAUGGCUGCUUCUGCAUUGAGGGAUAUUAUUACAACGCCAACAACCAGUGUGUUUUGCUACGGGAUUGCGAGAGACGCUCGGCGCAGCGAGUGGAAGAGGAUCUAGAUCCCGAUGAGAACGAAAAUGAAGACAUCUCUGAGUAAACACGCUGUAAACUCAAUUUCUCAUCAAAAGAACAUGAUAAACAUGAGAUAUGUGUAAUAAAUGUAUUUGUUAUAUCAUCUCAGAAAUAAAUAUUUUGCUGGGUCA
This is a long non-coding RNA of Dalotia coriaria, 705 nucleotides long. RefSeq lists it as uncharacterized. NCBI's taxonomy places the organism in Eukaryota, Metazoa, Arthropoda, Insecta, Coleoptera, Staphylinidae. The transcript has 2 exons. The record is from RefSeq and is a predicted model, not a curated record.